This 253-nucleotide ribosomal RNA is filed under the name uncultured bacterium. Its description in RNAcentral is "partial 16S ribosomal RNA". It matches the Rfam family "Bacterial small subunit ribosomal RNA", at positions 524 to 776 of the family's 1533-position model. The record is from RNAcentral.
UACGGAGGAUCCAAGCGUUAUCCGGAUUUAUUGGGUUUAAAGGGUGCGUAGGCGGAUUAGUAAGUCAGUGGUGAAAGCCUGCAGCUCAACUGUAGAACUGCCAUUGAUACUGCUAGUCUUGAAUAUAGUUGAGGUAGGCGGAAUAUGACAUGUAGUGGUGAAAUACUUAGAUAUGUCAUAGAACACCGAUUGCGAAGGCAGCUAACGAAACUAUAACUGACGCUGAGGCACGAAAGUGCGGGGAUCAAACAGG